UAUUUUGUUGGUUGUUCGAGAACCGAAGUAAUGAUUGAUAGGGACAGUUGGGGGCGUCAGUAUUCUGAAGCGAGAGGUGAAAUUCUUGGACCUUCGGAAGACUAACAACUGCGAAAGCAUUCGCCUAGGAUGUUCUCUUUAAUCAAGAACGAAAGUUGGGGGAUCGAAGACGAUCAGAUACCGUCGUAGUCUCAACUAUAAACUAUGCCAGCUAGGGAUUGGUGGACGUUUUCGUACGACUUCAUCAGCACCUUAUGAGAAAUCAAAGCAUUUGGGUUCCGGGGGGAGUAUGGUCGCAAGGCUGAAACUUAAAGGAAUUGACGGGAGGGCACC
This 333-nucleotide ribosomal RNA is filed under the name uncultured marine eukaryote. RNAcentral describes it as "SSU rRNA". It matches the Rfam family "Eukaryotic small subunit ribosomal RNA", at positions 835 to 1168 of the family's 1831-position model. The record is from RNAcentral.